RNAcentral lists this non-coding RNA (30 nucleotides) under Mus musculus (house mouse). The record is from RNAcentral. Lineage: Eukaryota; Metazoa; Chordata; Mammalia; Rodentia; Muridae.
UGUCAGCUCAUGCUCACAGUGUCACAAUGU